RNAcentral lists this small RNA (110 nucleotides) under Marmota monax (woodchuck). The record is from RNAcentral. Lineage: Eukaryota; Metazoa; Chordata; Mammalia; Rodentia; Sciuridae.
GCUGGGUGUGGUAGCUAGCGCUUGCCUGUAAUCCCAGUAGCUCUGGGAGGCUGAGACAGGAGCCUCAGCAACGGUGAGGCCUUAAACAACUCAGUGAGAUUCUGUCUCUA